RNAcentral lists this long non-coding RNA (235 nucleotides) under Malus domestica (apple). Its description in RNAcentral is "long non-coding RNA (MDOM_LNC000547)". Lineage: Eukaryota; Viridiplantae; Streptophyta; Magnoliopsida; Rosales; Rosaceae. The record is from RNAcentral.
ACCAUACUUAGGGCCUUCGUAUUUAGAUCUCUUAUAAAUACUCAGGGGACUCAAAUGUAAUUAUGUAAUAAAUGAAGGGGCAAAUAUGUAAUAAGUGAGGAGCCCUUAUUCUAUAAAAGGACUCCUCACUCUCCUCAUUAAAGGAGGCCAAUUCUUAGGCCUGAGAUCCCCAAAGCCUCACUCUCACAUUACAGAGGCUUUCUCCCUCACAAUUCUCUCAGAGAAAUACAAUAUC